GGAGAGGUGGCAGAGUGGUUGAUUGUACCUGACUCGAAAUCAGGCGUACCGGUAACGGUACCGAGGGUUCAAAUCCCUCCCUCUCCGCCA
Molecule: transfer RNA, 90 nt
Filed under: Puniceicoccales bacterium
Lineage: Bacteria; Pseudomonadati; Verrucomicrobiota; Opitutia; Puniceicoccales
Description: tRNA-Ser
Rfam family: tRNA
About the family: Transfer RNA (tRNA) molecules are approximately 80 nucleotides in length. Their secondary structure includes four short double-helical elements and three loops (D, anti-codon, and T loops).
Source: RNAcentral